Long non-coding RNA from Carassius auratus (goldfish), 390 nucleotides. RefSeq lists it as uncharacterized. The transcript has 3 exons. Lineage: Eukaryota; Metazoa; Chordata; Actinopteri; Cypriniformes; Cyprinidae. The record is from RefSeq and is a predicted model, not a curated record.
CCAUCAAUAAUGCGGUAAACUUUAAAAAAAAAAAUAAACAGUAUAAUAUGUCUUAGGUUCAAUGCCAGUCUUCUCCAGAAGCUUAUUAAUGGUUUGAUUUACCCCCUUCAGCUGAACACUCUUCUGAAUGAACCUGGCAGUCCAACUUUACAACCCAAGACCGCCAACUUCACGAUCACUUCAAACCAGAUUGUUGGACAGAUGGAAUACAGCUUCCAGGAUGGAGAUGUCAUACAACCAGUCAGCUUCCUCAAUGAGCUACGUCAACCAACCACUACUACAGUGUUUCCAGAAACAACAUUUGGUUUCUCUGUGACUCCUUCAAACCUCAUAUCUGGUUCAGCAGUGGUCACAAGCAAGCUGGUGUUCAACUCCUCAUCUCCAGUGCCC